This 1149-nucleotide long non-coding RNA is filed under the name Parus major (Great Tit). RNAcentral describes it as "lncRNA (ENSPMJG00000016988.1)". The record is from RNAcentral. Lineage: Eukaryota; Metazoa; Chordata; Aves; Passeriformes; Paridae.
CUCGGCCCUGGCCCUGGCCCUGCCCGUGGCCUGUCCUUGCCCCUGGCCCUGUCCUUGUCCUUGUCCCUGCCCCUGCCCCUACCCCUGGCCCUGCCCCUGGCCCUGCCCCUGUCCCUGUCCUUGUCCCUGCCCCUGACCCUACCCCUGGCCCUGCCCCUGCCCCUGUCCUUGUCCCUGCCCCUGGCCCUACCCCUGCCCUUGCCCUUGCUCUUGUCCCUGCCCCUGUCCUUGCCCCUGUCCUUGUCCCUGCCCUUAUCCCUGCCCCUGUCCUUGCCCCUGCCCUUGUCCUUGCCCUUGCCCUUGUCCCUGCCCUUCUCCUUGUCCCUGUCCAUGUCCCUGCCCUUGUCCUUGUCCCUGUCCCUGCCCCUGUCCAUGCCCCUGCCCUUGUCCCUGCCCUUGUUCCUGCCCUUGUCCCUGUCACUAGCCCUGCUCCUGCCCCAGCUCCUGCCUCUGCUCAUCUCCCGUCCCCUGCCCCUAUCAGACAGGACCUUGUUUGCUCCCUGUUCUCACUCUGUCCCCUCUGCCCUGUCCUCUGCCCUGUCCUCUGCCCCAGCCAGCCCCCCUGCCUGCUCACCUGCCCCUUCUCACGUCCCAUCACCACUCCUGGCUCUCUCACUCCUCCUGACCCGCACCUGCCUGGCCAUGACUCUGUCCAUGUCACCCUUCCCAUCACAAGCUUACUCUGGAAAAACCUGUCAGGCAGGGCUCAGAGGUCCCCGGUGCAGCUGUUUUAACCUCGUGCAGGUUUCCAAGGCCCCUUCCAUGAAGAGCCACGAUAUUUGGUCUCUGGCUGAAUGGACAGAGGAGAGUGGCUGGUUAUUUGGCAUCACGUGAGUCUCAAUACUUUUGCGUUGCUGUCUUUCUUCAUGCCCUGGCUUUAUUGUGUGCUGUAAGAAUUUGUUUUCUUUGUUGUUAUCCAGUAGGAUUUUUACAUCUUUGGAGAUCUUGUUUAAUUUGUUUUCCAACCUGGAACAUUAAAUGUUCUUAAAGCAGAGCAGAAUUUGUGUUCUCUCAUAAUCAGAUAAAAACAGAUAAUAAUCAUAAUCAGAAAAAAAUUAUCAAAGGAAAAAAAACCCCAAUGUUUUCUAAAAUGUGUGUGACUAAACACAGCUCAAUAAAGUCAUAGUGCUGUCCUCCUGAUUGAAAGAG